Molecule: ribosomal RNA, 305 nt
Filed under: uncultured bacterium
Lineage: Bacteria
Description: partial 16S ribosomal RNA
Rfam family: Bacterial small subunit ribosomal RNA
Source: RNAcentral
ACAGCAGCAGCCGCGGUAAUACGAAGGGUGCAAGCGUUACUCGGAAUUACUGGGCGUAAAGCGUGUGUAGGUGGUUGUUUAAGUCUGUCGUGAAAGCCCUGGGCUCAACCUGGGAAUUGCGAUGGAUACUGGGCGACUAGAGUGCGGUAGAGGAUAGUGGAAUUUCCGGUGUAGCAGUGAAAUGCGUAGAGAUCGGAAGGAACAUCUGUGGCGAAGGCGACUAUCUGGGCCAACACUGACACUGAGACACGAAAGCGUGGGGAGCAAACAGGAUUAGAUACCCGUGUAGUCCCUGUCUCUUAUAC